Long non-coding RNA from Manis pentadactyla (Chinese pangolin), 2652 nucleotides. RefSeq lists it as uncharacterized. The record is from RefSeq and is a predicted model, not a curated record. NCBI's taxonomy places the organism in Eukaryota, Metazoa, Chordata, Mammalia, Pholidota, Manidae. The transcript is spliced from 5 exons.
UUUGCUUUACUUUGGCAAACAUGGAGUCAUGUUACCCACAUCAUCUGGUACUUUUCUUUUAAAUUUAUGUUGCCGUCUACCCAAGAGUAUCUCUCUUGGUCAGUGAGUAGAGAUCUGAGACACGUCUAGAGUGGCUGUGUGAUGUCUAUACGGUGGGACUGAUUCAGUCAUUUCCCUAUUGUCAGGCUUUCAAAUGGUUUCUGUCUUGCUCUUCCCUCCCCCAGUACAAACAACGCUUUAAUGACCACGCUUUUGCGUGUAUCCUCCUCCGCGUGUGUUUAUUUGCAUGGGACGGACUUCUGAGUAUGUAUUUGCCAAGUCAAACACUACAUGGACUUUAAAUCUCAAUAGAUGUGCCAGUGUUCUCUCAAAAAGCUUUUUGUCCUAAACGAGAACCCAGGUGCUACUGAGAACCUGCAAGCUGGUAGGUGUGGCUGAGGAAUGGGAGCAUUGUUCAGAAGGAACUGGGGGCCUUGAGGGGCUGGUGCGUGUCUUGCUGACAGAGGUGAGGACUCUCCAGAGCCUAGGGACGGCCUUGCACAGAGCCACAGAGACAGGAGCAAGCACUGCCUACUGAGCGGCUGUCAGGGAAGGGACUAAACCACGCCUUUGGUCCACCAGGACCAUCUUCAUUCCCAGCACCCAGCCUGGUCCAGGGCGCAUGGAAGACGUCCAUAAAAUAUUUCUUGAAUAACCGAUAAAGGAGAAUUCAAUGAUGACAAGCAUUUCAACCAUGGAGAUGCAUGCUGAUUAUAGGACUGGGAAAGCCUUGCAUAUCUGUCUACAAAUAUCGGUGUGCUGGUAAACAUUCAACAGCCAGCUUUCUGGGAAGAAAACGUCCCUGUUUGCAGUACCUGAUCACUGUUGGCGUGAAUACCACAACCACGGCCAACUUCAAACCAUGGAUGUGCGGGGCAUCAUCACGUGACGUGGGGAAGAGGCUCACCACGGACCCCCACCAGCCGGUCCUAACUGGUGAUGGCACCCCGCUCUCUGUAAGCUGCUGUCUGAAUUUGUUACUUUCUAAAAAUUAAAUUCCAAGGAUUAUUGUGCCACUUUUAUCAAACAACUACCAUUUGAUCAUCUAUCGAAGCCACUAAGAGACUACACAGGUAUAAUUCCAGCUACCCACUGGAAAGGAAGAGGAAAAAUCACCCACUUUCACAUCCCGCUCAGAUACAAUGGCACAGCUGAGCCAUCGCUCCCUCCUCUCCUUUCGGCUGCGAAUCAGGCUGCCAGGCUGUCGGUACCAACAGCAGACACAACCUUGCAAAGGACCUCGUGAGAGCUGUUGAUGGCGAAAUUAAACCCAGAGCGCACUGAGGCAUUGGCGUCCAUGAAGUCCCCUGCCUACGUCCUCCUGAAGCCUGGAGAGACUGUGAAGUGUCAGGAAGCAGGGACUGGCUGGAUCUGCAGCCUGGCUGCACUGGUGCUGCCCCGCCUGGCAAGGCCCCACCCGGGAAGGCCGAGAGCAGCAGGCUGUACACCUUUUCUCCUCCGCUGGGGAAGCGCCCCUGGAAAAGGAAGAUAUUCUGGCCAAAUUUUCUUGUAAACAGGCACUGGCAGCCCUCUAGGCAAACACACCGUGCUGUUUGUAGUGGGAGAAUCCUUAGCUGUGUGAUGCCUGGGCCGGAUGACCUGAUCUGUCUCGAGCUGAUGACCAGUCACACCUGCAGUUUGUGGGUACAAUGGGAUUUUGCUCCCUAAAAAGCAUCACGCAGUCUAUGUAAUAUUGCAGUUUAAAGUGGACAGUUUCACGAAGAGACAUCUUUCUGUGUGACUGAUGCUCUACACACACCAUUCAGAGGCCCUGCUGGUCGAUCAGGACCAGACCUAGUCCCAGGGUGGCAGCAAGAAAGAGCCUGAGAGCUUCACAUGGGCACCAGGCGUCUCCCUGCUUCAGCUGUGCCGUGAAUCACGUGCAGCCCUGAAACUGCCAGUAAGCCAGCCAAGAUAUCUGAGCCUGCAAGUCUGAUCUGAUUAUCUGAUCCUCUGCGCUGUCUUACACCCUCAGCAAGGUAGAUGCGUUAGAACCAGGUCAACGUGUGGAACCCAGCUGGUGACCCACAGAAGCGUGUGGUGUGGGGAAACCCCACACAGCUGGUGACCUGAAGCGAGGCAUGCUGCGUGGCUACUACAGGGGACAAAACUGAGUCUUCCUAAGAAGCAUUCAGUAAGUUUUUGUUGAAUUCAAUUGGUCAUUUUGUCCUACCUCUUUCGAAGCUUGAACUCUUUCAGCUUUAAAAGCCAAGUUCCUUUAGAAUACUUCGGGUUUUUCUAAAGAGCAAGUAUGUCCCCUUCUCGAAAAACACUGACAUGGAUCAAAAUCCUUGGAAGGGGGUAAGGUCCGAGCAGCUAAAUAAUAGACGAGAGAUGUUAAUUUUUUGCUCUUUCUUACCCUAAGGAGGUUAAACAGUCCUGCAAACUGAGGCAUAGAGAUGUGGAGAAGUUGGUGCUCCUAUGGCCAGGAUCCUCCCUGAACUUAAACCACCUGAGGAUGUACCUGGCCUGUUGCUGGGCUGCCGCUUCCGCACCUGUAGGCAAUGAGCUGUUACUGAGCUAUACAGAGAGCCCGGCCCAGGGCUCUGCGCGGAGGCAGAGAUGCUGGUGCUCGACCUCCCGCCGGAGAACAAGCAGGGUAAUAAACCCUUU